Molecule: long non-coding RNA, 1136 nt
Filed under: Marmota monax (woodchuck)
Lineage: Eukaryota; Metazoa; Chordata; Mammalia; Rodentia; Sciuridae
Source: RNAcentral
GGGGCCGGUUCCUAGCGGGUGGGAGGUCUACUUGCAUCGCGUGUUGUGUGUUGUGGUGUGAUCAGUAUCUCGAUGCUUCCUCACGGGCAGUGAUAAGAUGUUAGAUUUUGUUUUUGUGCAGGCAGCGGUGGAAGAAGGUUUUUGGUCGUUACAGGACGAGAAAGUGGGACUUGAGCUUCGCGGUUCCCGGAGCCGGCGGUGCCAGCGCCGGGGUCGUAGCCACAGGCGUGAGCGUUCAGGACUCAGUUUGGGGCCCUAGAAGUCGGCCUCCGGGGUUCUUGCCGGCCCUGGCCGGGUGCUGCCGCGCGGCACACCUUUCCUUCUAGCUUGGUUCGCGCGUCUUCACCCCGGGGUCAGAUCGGCCAAGGUUAUGGCGCAUCUUGGAGAGGGAGGAUGACCCCGCACCUGAAGGGUACAAAGAACAGAUGACUCGAGGGAGGAGGGCACGGUCAUCGUUGGUGAAGAGUCUAGAAGGAAAUCUGACGUUUAUUUCAGUUACCACCUCCCUCUCCCACCUGUUUCCAGUUUAAGGGCAAACGUUUUACAAAAGCAUUUUACAUUUGAGGUUUUAAAUCGUAAGGUUUAAGUAGAGAUUUAGGGAUGUGUUGGGAAUUGCAGCUUUCUCACGAGCUCCCAUUAGCGUAAAUGUUAGAUCCUACAGUUCUAACUCCCAUAGCAGGUUCAUUUGACAGGGGAUCUUGCGUAAGUCCAUUUCUAAUCUUCAACCCCACCCCCUUUGAAUGGUAAUAAAUCCUUCAGUGCUUAGAGGCUUUUGUUUCCUAAUGUUUUUGUUUUCUUUGGUGUUCUGAAUUGCCCAUACCUAUUUAACUCAGUACAUAUCUUAAGUGAUGCAUGUUUGGGUCUUGUGGGAACGAUUUCGCUUUGAUGCUUUGUCAUGGCAGCGCCAGGAAGGGCCUGUAUUCUGCCAACUUUGGCUACUCCACCUGUAAUCACUCAAGACACUGAAAUGCUAUAAACAAACGAAUCUAUUCACUGUUACAGAGCAUUUCCUUGAGUUGAUACUAAUGUUACUGUUACAAAAAGUCAAAUUAUUUGACUUUAGUUUCUAUUUACUGUAAUGACAUCCUCCAGAACACUACUAGAAUCCCAGGAAUGGGAAAGUGUCUCUUUGACAU